GACGAACGCUGGCGGCGCGCUUAACACAUGCAAGUCGAACGGAAAGGCCUGCUUUCCCUUGUGGAUUGCGGGUACUCGAGUGGCGAACGGGUGAGUAACACGUGAGUGAUCUGCCCCCAACUUGGGUAUAAGCCUGGGAAACUGGGUCUAAUUCCCGAUAGGACUGCAGGGUGGUGCCUGUGGUGGAAAACGAUUUUCUAGUGGUUGGGGAUGAGCUCGCGGCCUAUCAGCUUGUUGGUGGGGCAAUGGCCUACCAAGGCGGCGACGGGUAGCCGGCCUGGGAGGGUGGACGGGCGCAUUGGGACUGAGAUACGGCCCAGACUCCUACGAGAGGCAGCAGUGGGGAAUAAGGCAGAGUGGGCGGAAGCCUGAUGCAGCGACGCCGCGUGGGGGAUGACGGGCUUCGGGUUGUAAACUCCUUUCGACCGCGAGGAAGCCACCUGGUUGGAAGGGUGGUGACGGUAGUGGUAGAAGAAGCACCGGCUAACUACGUG
Molecule: ribosomal RNA, 494 nt
Filed under: uncultured bacterium
Lineage: Bacteria
Description: partial 16S ribosomal RNA
Rfam family: Bacterial small subunit ribosomal RNA
Source: RNAcentral